GAGGGUAUAGUGCAGUUGUAGAGUGCGUGCUUAACAUGCACGAGGUCCUGGGUUUGAUCCCCAGUACUUUCG
Molecule: transfer RNA, 72 nt
Filed under: Camelus bactrianus (Bactrian camel)
Lineage: Eukaryota; Metazoa; Chordata; Mammalia; Artiodactyla; Camelidae
Also listed under: 2 other names
Rfam family: tRNA
About the family: Transfer RNA (tRNA) molecules are approximately 80 nucleotides in length. Their secondary structure includes four short double-helical elements and three loops (D, anti-codon, and T loops). Further hydrogen bonds mediate the characteristic L-shaped molecular structure. tRNAs have two regions of fundamental functional importance: the anti-codon, which is responsible for specific mRNA codon recognition, and the 3' end, to which the tRNAs corresponding amino acid is attached (by aminoacyl-tRNA synthetases). tRNAs cope with the degeneracy of the genetic code in two manners: having more than one tRNA (with a specific anti-codon) for a particular amino acid; and 'wobble' base-pairing, i.e. permitting non-standard base-pairing at the 3rd anti-codon position.
Source: Rfam by way of RNAcentral